AGUGAACGCUGGCGGUAGGCCUAACACAUGCAAGUCGAACGGCAGCACAGUAAGAGCUUGCUCUUACGGGUGGCGAGUGGCGGACGGGUGAGGAAUACAUCGGAAUCUACUUUUUCGUGGGGGAUAACGUAGGGAAACUUACGCUAAUACCGCAUACGACCUACGGGUGAAAGCAGGGGAUCUUCGGACCUUGCGCGAUUGAAUGAGCCGAUGUCGGAUUAGCUAGUUGGCGGGGUAAAGGCCCACCAAGGCGACGAUCCGUAGCUGGUCUGAGAGGAUGAACAGGCCCACCGGAACCGAGAAACGGUCCAGACCCCUAAGGGAGGCAGGCGUGGGGAAUAUUGGACAAUGGGCGCAAGCCUGAUCCAGCCAUACCGCGUGGGUGAAGAAGGCCUUCGGGUUGUAAAGCCCUUUUGUUGGGAAAGAAAAGCAGCAGGUUAAUACCCCGCUGUUCUGACGGUACCCAAAGAAUAAGCACCGGCUAACUUCGUG
This 492-nucleotide ribosomal RNA is filed under the name uncultured bacterium. Its description in RNAcentral is "partial 16S ribosomal RNA". It matches the Rfam family "Bacterial small subunit ribosomal RNA", at positions 29 to 507 of the family's 1533-position model. The record is from RNAcentral.